CCAGCACCCGCGGUAAUUCCAGCUCCAAUAGCGUAUAUUUAAGUUGUUGCAGUUAUAAAGCUCGUAGUUGGAUUUCGGAUGGGUUCCAGCGGUCCGCCUAUGGUGAGUACUGCUGUGGCCUAUCUUUCUGUCAGUGACGGGCUCCUGGGCUUCACUGUCUGGGACUCGGACCUGGCGUCGUCACUUUGAGUAAAUUAGAGUGUUCAAAGCAAGCUUACGCUCUGAAUACUUUAGCAUGGAAUGACAUGAUAGGACUCUGGCCUAUCUUGUUGGUCUGUAGGACCGGAGUAAUGAUUAAGAGGGACAGUCGGGGGCAUUCGUAUUUCAUUGUCAGAGGUGAAAUUCUUGGAUUUAUGAAAGACGAACUACUGCGAAAGCAUUUGCCAAGGAUGUUUUCAUUAAUCAAGAACGAAAGU
This 416-nucleotide ribosomal RNA is filed under the name uncultured eukaryote. Its description in RNAcentral is "SSU rRNA". It matches the Rfam family "Eukaryotic small subunit ribosomal RNA", at positions 567 to 990 of the family's 1831-position model. The record is from RNAcentral.